GUGGUUUGUCGCGUUGUUCGUGAAAUCUCACGGCUUAACUGUGAGCGUGCGGGCGAUACGGGCAGACUUGAGUACUGCAGGGGAGACUGGAAUUCCUGGUGUAGCGGUGGAAUGCGCAGAUAUCAGGAGGAACACCGGUGGCGAAGGCGGGUCUCUGGGCAGUAACUGACGCUGAGGAGCGAAAGCGUGGGGAGCGAACAGGAUUAGAUACCCUGGUAGUCCACGCCGUAAACGGUGGGUACUAGGUGUGGGUUUCCUUCCUUGGGAUCCGUGCCGUAGCUAACGCAUUAAGUACCCCGCCUGGGGAGUACGGCCGCAAGGCUAAAACUCAAAGAAAUUGACGGGGGCCCGCACAAGCGGCGGAGCAUGUGGAUUAAUUCGAUGCAACGCGAAGAACCUUACCUGGGUUUGACAUGCACAGGACGCCGGCAGAGAUGUCGGUUCCCUUGUGGCCUGUGUGCAGGCGGUGCAUGGCUGUCGUCAGCUCGUGUCGUGAGAUGUUGGGUUAAGUCCCGCAACGAGCGCAACCCUUGUCUCAUGUUGCCAGCGGGUAAUGCCGGGGACUCGUGAGAGACUGCCGGGGUCAACUCGGAGGAAGGUGGGGAUGACGUCAAGUCAUCAUGCCCCUUAUGUCCAGGGCUUCACACAUGCUACAAUGGCCGGUACAAAGGGCUGCGAUGCCGCGAGGUUAAGCGAAUCCUUUUAAAGCCGGUCUCAGUUCGGAUCGGGGUCUGCAACUCGACCCCGUGAAGUCGGAGUCGCUAGUAAUC
Molecule: ribosomal RNA, 770 nt
Filed under: uncultured bacterium
Lineage: Bacteria
Description: bacterial SSU rRNA
Rfam family: Bacterial small subunit ribosomal RNA
Source: RNAcentral